This 497-nucleotide ribosomal RNA is filed under the name uncultured bacterium. RNAcentral's name for it is "partial 16S ribosomal RNA". It matches the Rfam family "Bacterial small subunit ribosomal RNA", at positions 28 to 507 of the family's 1533-position model. The record is from RNAcentral.
GAUGAACGCUGGCGGCGUGCCUAAUACAUGCAAGUCGAGCGAACAGACGAGGAGCUUGCUCCUCUGACGUUAGCGGCGGACGGGUGAGUAACUCGUGGAUAACCUACCUAUAAGACUGGGAUAACUUCGGGAAACCGGAGCUAAUACCGGAUAAUAUAUUGAACCGCAUGGUUCAAUAGUGAAAGACGGUUUUGCUGUCACUUAUAGAUGGAUCCGCGCCGCAUUAGCUAGUUGGUAAGGUAACGGCUUACCAAGGCAACGAUGCGUAGCCGACCUGAGAGGGUGAUCGGCCACACUGGGACUGAGACACGGUCCAGACUCCUACGGGAGGCAGCAGUAGGGAAUCUUCCGCAAUGGGCGAAAGCCUGACGGAGCAACGCCGCGUGAGUGAUGAAGGUCUUCGGAUCGUAAAACUCUGUUAUUAGGGAAGAACAAAUGUGUAAGUAACUAUGCACGUCUUGACGGUACCUAAUCAGAAAGCCACGGCUAACUACGUG